RNAcentral lists this unclassified non-coding RNA (253 nucleotides) under uncultured Bacillaceae bacterium. RNAcentral describes it as "contains 16S-23S intergenic spacer region". It matches the Rfam family "Bacterial small subunit ribosomal RNA", at positions 524 to 776 of the family's 1533-position model. Lineage: Bacteria; Bacillati; Bacillota; Bacilli; Caryophanales; Bacillaceae. The record is from RNAcentral.
UACGUAGGUGGCAAGCGUUGUCCGGAAUUAUUGGGCGUAAAGCGCGCGCAGGCGGUCUUUUAAGCCUGAUGUGAAAGCGCCCGGCUCAACCGGGGAGGGUCAUUGGAAACUGGGAGACUUGAGUACAGAAGAGGAGAGUGGAAUUCCACGUGUAGCGGUGAAAUGCGUAGAUAUGUGGGGAAAUACCAGUGGCGAAGGCGACUCGCUGGUCUGUAACUGACGCUGAGGCGCGAAAGCGUGGGGAGCAAACAGG